Molecule: ribosomal RNA, 468 nt
Filed under: uncultured bacterium
Lineage: Bacteria
Description: partial 16S ribosomal RNA
Rfam family: Bacterial small subunit ribosomal RNA
Source: RNAcentral
GACGAACGCUGGCGGCGUGCUUAACACAUGCAAGUCGAACGGAAAGGCCCUGCUUUUGUGGGGUGCUCGAGUGGCGAAAGGGUGAGUAACACGUGAGUAACCUGCCCUUGACUUUGGGAUAACUUCAGGAAACUGGGGCUAAUAACGGAUAGGAGCUCCUGCUGCAUGGUGGGGGUUGGAAAGUUUCGGCGGUUGGGGAUGGACUCGAGGCUUAUCAGCUUGUUGGUGGGGUAGUGGCUUACCAAGGCUUUGACGGGUAGCCGGCCUGAGAGGGUGACCGGCCACAUUAGGACUGAGAUACGGCCCAGACUCCUACGGGAGGCAGCAGUGGGGAAUAUUGCACAAUGGGCGGAAGCCUGAUGCAGCAACGCCGCGUGCGGGAUGACGGCCUUCGGGUUGUAAACCGCUUUCGCCUGUGACGAAGCGUGAGUGACGGUAAUGGGUAAAGAAGCACCGGCUAACUACGUG